RNAcentral lists this ribosomal RNA (524 nucleotides) under uncultured bacterium. RNAcentral's name for it is "bacterial SSU rRNA". It matches the Rfam family "Bacterial small subunit ribosomal RNA", at positions 348 to 865 of the family's 1533-position model. The record is from RNAcentral.
GCAGCAGUGGGGAAUUUUGGACAAUGGGCGCAAGCCUGAUCCAGCAAUGCCGCGUGAGUGAAGAAGGCCUUCGGGUUGUAAAGCUCUUUCAGUCGAGAAGAAAAGGCUGCAGUGAAUAACUGUAGUUCAUGACGGUAUCGACAGAAGAAGCACCGGCUAACUACGUGCCAGCAGCCGCGGUAAUACGUAGGGUGCGAGCGUUAAUCGGAAUUACUGGGCGUAAAGGGUGCGCAGGCGGCUUUGUAAGUCAGAUGUGAAAUCCCCGGGCUUAACCUGGGAAUUGCGUUUGAAACUACAAGGCUAGAGUGUGGCAGAGGGAGGUGGAAUUCCAUGUGUAGCAGUGAAAUGCGUAGAGAUAUGGAAGAACAUCGAUGGCGAAGGCAGCCUCCUGGGUUAACACUGACGCUCAUGCACGAAAGCGUGGGGAGCAAACAGGAUUAGAUACCCUGGUAGUCCACGCCCUAAACGAUGUCAACUAGUUGUUGGGCCUUAUUAGGCUUAGUAACGAAGCUAACGCGUGAAGU